Molecule: non-coding RNA, 115 nt
Organism: Triticum aestivum (bread wheat)
Lineage: Eukaryota; Viridiplantae; Streptophyta; Magnoliopsida; Poales; Poaceae
Source: Rfam
GAUCUACUCCCUCCGUUCAGAAUUACUUGUCAUAAAAAUGAAUGUAUCUACAACUAAAAUACAUCUAGAUACAUUCAUUUGUUGGACGAGUAAUUCCGAACGGAGGGAGUACCUU